This is a long non-coding RNA of Vidua chalybeata, 162 nucleotides long. RefSeq lists it as uncharacterized. NCBI's taxonomy places the organism in Eukaryota, Metazoa, Chordata, Aves, Passeriformes, Viduidae. The transcript has 2 exons. The record is from RefSeq and is a predicted model, not a curated record.
AGCCAUGUCCAUGUGCUAGUAAAAGAGAGUCAAUAGCAGCUCUAUUUUGUAAAGUGGCAUGUUUCACUGCUUCUUCAUCUGCUUUCCUAUUUCAUCUUCCCCAACAUCAGUGAAAUGUGAAAUUUUGAUUAAUGAAAUAAAACCUUAUAUUAAUUUUGCCAA